GACAGAGGGUGCAAACGCUGCUCGGAAUUACUGGGCGUAAAGCGCGUGUAGGCGGCCCUGCAAGUCGGGUGUGAAAUCCCAUGGCUCAACCAUGGAAGUGCACUCGAAACUGCAGGGCUAGAGUCCUGGAGAGGAAGGUGGAAUGCUUGGUGUAGAGGUGAAAUUCGUAGAUAUCAAGCGGAACACCGGUGGCGGAGGCGGCCUUCUGGACAGUGACUGACGCUGAGGUGCGAAAGCGUGGGGAGCAAACAGG
RNAcentral lists this ribosomal RNA (253 nucleotides) under uncultured bacterium. RNAcentral describes it as "partial 16S ribosomal RNA". It matches the Rfam family "Bacterial small subunit ribosomal RNA", at positions 524 to 776 of the family's 1533-position model. The record is from RNAcentral.